Molecule: ribosomal RNA, 289 nt
Filed under: uncultured bacterium
Lineage: Bacteria
Description: partial 16S ribosomal RNA
Rfam family: Bacterial small subunit ribosomal RNA
Source: RNAcentral
GUGGAUUAGAUACCCGGGUAGUCCACGCCCUAAACGAUGUCAACUAGCUGUUGGGGGUUUGAAUCCUUGGUAGCGUAGCUAACGCGAGAAGUUGACCGCCUGGGGAGUACGGCCGCAAGGUUAAAACUCAAAGGAAUUGACGGGGACCCGCACAAGCGGUGGAUGAUGUGGAUUAAUUCGAUGCAACGCGAAAAACCUUACCUGGUCUUGACAUGUACGGAACUUGCCAGAGAUGGCUUGGUGCCCGAAAGGGAGCCGUAACACAGGUGCUGCACGGCCGUCGCCAACU